UACGGAGGGGGCGAGCGUUAUUCGGAAUUACUGGGCGUAAAGGGCGCGUAGGCGGCCCUGUAAGUCAGAGGGUGAAAUCCCUCGGCUCAACCGAGGAACUGCGUUGGAAACUGGAGGCUCGAGUCCGGAAGAGGGCAGUGGAAUUCCAGGUGUAGCGGUGAAAUGCGUAGAUAUCGGGAGGAACACCAGUGGCGAAGGCGGCUGCCUGGGCCAGUUCUGACGCUGAGGCGCGAAAGCCUGGGGAGCAAAC
This 250-nucleotide ribosomal RNA is filed under the name uncultured Holophagae bacterium. Its description in RNAcentral is "partial 16S ribosomal RNA". It matches the Rfam family "Bacterial small subunit ribosomal RNA", at positions 524 to 773 of the family's 1533-position model. Lineage: Bacteria; Pseudomonadati; Acidobacteriota; Holophagae. The record is from RNAcentral.